AGUGAACGCUGGCGGUAAGCCUAACACAUGCAAGUCGAACGGCAGCACAGUAAGAGCUUGCUCUUACGGGUGGCGAGUGGCGGACGGGUGAGGAAUACAUCGGAAUCUACUUUUUCGUGGGGGAUAACGUAGGGAAACUUACUCUAAUACCGCAUACGACCUACGGGUGAAAGCAGGGGAUCUUCGGACCUUGCGCGAUUGAAUGAGCCGAUGUCGGAUUAGCUAGUUGGCGGGGUAAAGGCCCACCAAGGCGACGAUCCGUAGCUGGUCUGAGAGGAUGAUCAGCCACACUGGAACUGAGACACGGUCCAGACUCCUACGGGAGGCAGCUGUGGGGAAUAUUGGACAAUGGGCGCAAGCCUGAUCCAGCCAUACCGCGUGGGUGAAGAAGGCCUUCGGGUUGUAAAGCCCUUUUGUUGGGAAAGAAAAGCAGCAGGUUAAUACCCCGCUGUUCUGACGGUACCCAAAGAAUAAGCACCGGCUAACUUCGUG
This 492-nucleotide ribosomal RNA is filed under the name uncultured bacterium. RNAcentral describes it as "partial 16S ribosomal RNA". It matches the Rfam family "Bacterial small subunit ribosomal RNA", at positions 29 to 507 of the family's 1533-position model. The record is from RNAcentral.